Molecule: ribosomal RNA, 490 nt
Filed under: uncultured bacterium
Lineage: Bacteria
Description: partial 16S ribosomal RNA
Rfam family: Bacterial small subunit ribosomal RNA
Source: RNAcentral
UGAACGCUGGCGGUAGGCCUAACACAUGCAAGUCGAACGGCAGCACAGUAAGAGCUUGCUCUUACGGGUGGCGAGUGGCGGACGGGUGAGGAAUACAUCGGAAUCUACUUUUUCGUGGGGGAUAACGUAGGGAAACUUACGCUAAUACCGCAUACGACCUACGGGUGAAAGCAGGGGAUCUUCGGACCUUGCGCGAUUGAAUGAGCCGAUGUCGGAUUAGCUAGUUGGCGGGGUAAAGGCCCACCAAGGCGACGAUCCGUAGCUGGUCUGAGAGGAUGAUCAGCCACACUGGAACUGAGACACGGUCCAGACUCCUACGGGAGGCAGCAGUGGGGAAUAUUGGACAAAGGGCGCAAGCCUGAUCCAGCCAUACCGCGUGGGUGAAGAAGGCCUUCGGGUUGUAAAGCCCUUUUGUUGGGAAAGAAAAGCAGCAGGUUAAUACCCCGCUGUUCUGACGGUACCCAAAGAAUAAGCACCGGCUAACUUCGUG